Molecule: unclassified non-coding RNA, 1916 nt
Filed under: Hevea brasiliensis (rubber tree)
Lineage: Eukaryota; Viridiplantae; Streptophyta; Magnoliopsida; Malpighiales; Euphorbiaceae
Source: RNAcentral
CUUCAGUGGUUCAAUCACACUGAAUUCAGAAAAAAGAGGAAAAAAAAAAUUAAAAAAGCUGCCUUUUUUUCUUCUUUUAUCUUCUUCUUCAUCUUCCUUUCCAUUCUCAUCUCCCACAUUCAACUGAAAAACAGAUAUAUAGAGAGAAAAAGGAAAACAAAAAACUGAAAAAGAAACCAACAAAACAGGAAAAAGACUUAAUCUUUUCUCUGUAUUUCAUAUUCUUUAACCGUAUAUUCUCAUAAACUCUGGUUGAUCUUUAAUGGAUCUGUAGAUCUAACGUUUAUUGGCUACGUUUAAUUGUAUUUUCACACUGUGUGAUUCAGUAAUAUUAUACCAUAUAAGGCCUAAUCACAACUAACAAAGGGAGUAGUGGUGGAAGUUUUUAGUUUUGGAGAGCAGUUGCAUCCAUUUGGAUGUUGAGGAAUUGGCGGUAAGCAAAGGUGAAAUGAGGGAUGUUAUCAAGGUUGAUAAAUUUCUUGAAGGCAUGUUGCCGGUCAUCGGCGGAUCGUUAUGUACAUAGUGCUACAGAUUCAGCUGGACGGCAAGAUGGACUUUUUUGGUAUAAGGACAGUGGACAACACUUACUUGGUGAGUUCUCUAUGGCAGUUGUUCAGGCCAACAAUUUGCUGGAGGAUCAGAGCCAGAUUGAGUCAGGUUCUUUGAGCUUGCUUGAUUCUGGCCCAUAUGGAACGUUUGUUGGGGUAUAUGAUGGUCAUGGUGGGCCUGAAACAUCACGGUAUAUCAAUGAUCACCUCUUUCAGAAUCUCAAGAGGUCUGCAGCUGAACAAAAUUCCAUGUCUGUUGAUGUAAUACGAAAAGCGUUUCAAGCAACAGAGGAGGGAUUCAUUUCUCUAGUUGCUCAGCAGUGGCUAACGAAACCUCAGAUGGCUUCUGUUGGAGCAUGCUGUCUGGUUGGGGUGAUCUGUGAUGGGACCCUUUAUGUUGCCAACCUUGGUGAUUCCCGGGCUGUUUUGGGGAGACUUGUCAGGGCUACAGGAGAGGUUCUAGCCCUUCAGCUUUCAGCUGAGCAUAAUGCAAGUAUUGAGUCUGUCAGACAGGAAUUGCAUUCUAUGCAUCCGGAUGACCCACAGAUAGUCGUUCUGAAGCAUAAUGUAUGGCGUGUAAAGGGUCUGAUACAGAUUUCGAGAUCUAUUGGCGAUUUAUAUCUCAAAAAUGCUGAGUACAAUAAAGAGCCAUUGUAUGCAAAAUUUCGUUUGCGAGAACCUUUUACGAGGCCCAUAUUGAGUGCGGAUCCAGCGAUUUCAGUGCAUGAACUCCAGCCACAUGAUCAAUUUCUCAUCCUUGCUUCCGACGGUCUUUGGGAACAUCUUAGCAAUCAAGAGGCAGUUGAUAUUGUCCAAAAUAGCUCUCACAAAGGAAGUGCUCGGCGGCUUGUAAAAGCUGCACUGCAAGAAGCGGCAAAGAAAAGGGAGAUGAGAUAUUCUGAUUUAAAGAAGAUUGAUCGUGGUGUGAGGAGACAUUUUCAUGAUGAUAUCUCAGUCAUAGUCGUGUUUCUUGAUUCAAAUCUUGUGAGUAGAGCCAGCUCACUUAGAGGGCCCUCUGUAUCUCUGAAAGGAGGUGGUAUGAACUUCCCAGCAAAAAGUCUGGCUCCCACUCCCGCAUAACUUGGUACUGCUUGACCUUUCCACAGUGUUGUAUACUUUGCUGUAUCCUUUCUGAAACUUGUUAUGACAAGAUCCUUUAGUAGAUUAAAGAGAAAUAACAGAAAGUGCGGCACUAAUUUAUUCUUUUGUUGUGCAAUGUGAUGUUUUUGAUGUUCAAUGUAACGUUUAACUUGGAACAGACGUCUUUAUUAACUUUAUAAGUAGGCAAGAAGAUCAAAUUUUCUUUCUUGAGGAUGAAACUUCUCUGCUUAUAUUCUAUCAAUUUUACUUGCUCACUUUUCUGUGGUA